This 1029-nucleotide ribosomal RNA is filed under the name Staphylococcus aureus. RNAcentral's name for it is "bacterial SSU rRNA". It matches the Rfam family "Bacterial small subunit ribosomal RNA", at positions 8 to 1017 of the family's 1533-position model. Lineage: Bacteria; Bacillati; Bacillota; Bacilli; Caryophanales; Staphylococcaceae. The record is from RNAcentral.
AGAGUUUGAUCCUGGCUCAGGAUGAACGCUGGCGGCGUGCCUAAUACAUGCAAGUCGAGCGAACGGAUGAGAAGCUUGCUUCUCUGAUGUUAGCGGCGGACGGGUGAGUAACACGUGGAUAACCUACCUAUAAGACUGGGAUAACUUCGGGAAACCGGAGCUAAUACCGGAUAAUAUUUUGAACCGCAUGGUUCAAAAGUGAAAGACGGUCUUGCUGUCACUUAUAGAUGGAUCCGCGCUGCAUUAGCUAGUUGGUAAGGUAACGGCUUACCAAGGCAACGAUGCAUAGCCGACCUGAGAGGGUGAUCGGCCACACUGGAACUGAGACACGGUCCAGACUCCUACGGGAGGCAGCAGUAGGGAAUCUUCCGCAAUGGGCGAAAGCCUGACGGAGCAACGCCGCGUGAGUGAUGAAGGUCUUCGGAUCGUAAAACUCUGUUAUUAGGGAAGAACAUAUGUGUAAGUAACUGUGCACAUCUUGACGGUACCUAAUCAGAAAGCCACGGCUAACUACGUGCCAGCAGCCGCGGUAAUACGUAGGUGGCAAGCGUUAUCCGGAAUUAUUGGGCGUAAAGCGCGCGUAGGCGGUUUUUUAAGUCUGAUGUGAAAGCCCACGGCUCAACCGUGGAGGGUCAUUGGAAACUGGAAAACUUGAGUGCAGAAGAGGAAAGUGGAAUUCCAUGUGUAGCGGUGAAAUGCGCAGAGAUAUGGAGGAACACCAGUGGCGAAGGCGGCUUUCUGGUCUGUAACUGACGCUGAUGUGCGAAAGCGUGGGGAUCAAACAGGAUUAGAUACCCUGGUAGUCCACGCCGUAAACGAUGAGUGCUAAGUGUUAGGGGGGUUUCCGCCCCUUAGUGCUGCAGCUAACGCAUUAAGCACUCCGCCUGGGGAGUACGACCGCAAGGUUGAAACUCAAAGGAAUUGACGGGGACCCGCACAAGCGGUGGAGCAUGUGGUUUAAUUCGAAGCAACGCGAAGAACCUUACCAAAUCUUGACAUCCUUUGACAACUCUAGAGAUAGAGCCUUCC